GGGUGACAGAGCAAGACUCCCGUCUCGGGGGCUUAAAAAAAAAAAAUGCUGUAUCUAAAUGAAUCUGUGUAAUUGGGCCCAGAUGUGGGUUUGCUCAGUAUUAGUAGACAAGGUCUUUGUUCAGACGAUUAGGUGCCUAACUGGCAAAUGCCUUAGUUUCUUAAAACGUAUUUUCUGAUGUGGCUUUACAUUUCAAAAGUGAACUUGAUUCAACCUGAGAAAACUGAUUAAAAAAUUAGUUUAAAUUUGCCAGCAGGGAAGUAAAAUAAUUAUGGGAAGAGUGUCUUAAGCCUAAUAUUAAAUCAGUUUUGUUAAGGGGAAAACUCAAUAGUUCUGUUACUUAGGCUGUUAGAUCCAAGUUGAUUUUUGUGUCUACAGCUAAAUUUUGUUUACAAUUAGGCUAUUUUUUAAUAUAGGAUUUAGAAACCAAGGGUAUGUGUUUUAAAAUUACACUUUUUCUUAACCUGUCUAGCUGUCGGAAAAGGUAACAGAAGAUGGAACUCGAAAUCCCAAUGAAAAACCUACCCAGCAAAGAAGCAUAGCUUUUAGCUCUAAUAAUUCUGUAGCAAAGCCAAUACAAAAAUCAGCUAAAGCUGCCACAGAAGAGGCAUCUUCAAGAUCACCAAAAAUAGAUCAGAAAAAAAGUCCAUAUGGACUGUGGAUACCUAUCUAAAAGAAGAAAACUGAUGGCUAAGUUUGCAUGAAAACUGCACUUUAUUGCAAGUUUCUCUUGCAGAUAUGAGAGAUAGCACAGAUGGACCAAAGGUUAUGCACAGGUGGGAGUCUUUUGUAUAUAGUUGUAAAUAUUGUCUUGGUUAUGUAAAAAUGAAAUUUUUUAGACACAGUAAUUGAACUGUAUUCCUGUUUUGUAUAUUUAAUAAAUUUCUUGUUUUCAUUCUUA
This 901-nucleotide long non-coding RNA is filed under the name Homo sapiens (human). Its description in RNAcentral is "non-protein coding lnc-SYF2-3:5". Lineage: Eukaryota; Metazoa; Chordata; Mammalia; Primates; Hominidae. The record is from RNAcentral.